ACCACUACUCUUAUUGUUUCCUUACUUACUUGAUUAAAUGGAACGUGUAUCAUUUCCUAGCCAUUAUACGGAUAUAUUUAUUAUAUCUUAUGGUAUUGGGUUUUGAUGCAAGCUUCUUGAUCAAAGUAUCACGAGUUUGUUAUAUAAUCGCAAACAAAUUCUUUAAUAAAACGAUGCAUUUAUGUAUUUUUGAUUUGAAAAUUUGGUAUAACUCCAAUUACUCAGGUAUGAUCCAAUUCAAGGACAUUGCCAGGUAGGGAGUUUGACUGGGGCGGUACAUCUCUCAAAUAAUAACGGAGGUGUCCCAAGGCCAGCUCAGUGCGGACAGAAACCACACAUAGAGCAAAAGGGCAAAUGCUGACUUGAUCUCGGUGUUCAGUACACACAGGGACAGCAAAAGCUCGGCCUAUCGAUCCUUUUGGUUUAAAGAGUUUUUAACAAGAGGUGUCAGAAAAGUUACCAUAGGGAUAACUGGCUUGUGGCGGCCAAGCGUUCAUAGCGACGUCGCUUUUUGAUCCUUCGAUGUCGGCUCUUCCUAUCAUUGUGAAGCAAAAUUCACCAAGCGUUGGAUUGUUCACCCAUGCAAGGGAACGUGAGCUGGGUUUAGACCGUCGUGAGACAGGUUAGUUUUACCCUACUAAUGACAAAACGUUGUUGCGACAGCAUUCCUGCGUAGUACGAGAGGAACCGCAGGUACGGACCAAUGGCACAAUACUUGUUCGAGCGAACAGUGGUAUGACGCUACGUCCGUUGGAUUAUGCCUGAACGCCUCUAAGGUCGUAUCCGUGCUGGACUGCAAUGAUAAAUAAGGGGCAAUUUGCAUUGUAUGGCUUCUAAACCAUUUAAAGUUUAUAAUUUAUUUUAUAAACGACAAUGGAUGUGAUGCCAAUGUAAUUUGUAACAUAGUAAAUUAGGAGGAUCUUCGAUCACCUGAUGCCGCGCUAGUUACAUAUAAAAGCAUUAUUUAAUACAAUGACAAAGCCUAGAAUCAAUUGUAAACGACUUUUGUAACAGGCAAGGUGUUGUAAGUGGUUGAGCAGCUGCCAUACUGCGAUCCACUGAAGCUUAUCCUUUGCUUGAUGAUUCGA
RNAcentral lists this non-coding RNA (1088 nucleotides) under Drosophila sechellia. RNAcentral describes it as "Eukaryotic large subunit ribosomal RNA". It matches the Rfam family "Eukaryotic large subunit ribosomal RNA", at positions 2496 to 3401 of the family's 3401-position model. Lineage: Eukaryota; Metazoa; Arthropoda; Insecta; Diptera; Drosophilidae. The record is from Rfam by way of RNAcentral.